UACGUAGGGGGCAAGCGUUGUCCGGAAUCAUUGGGCGUAAAGCGCGUGUAGGCGGCUUGAUAAGUCUGCUCUGAAAGCCCGGGGCUCAACCCUGGGAGGCGGGUGGAUACUGUCGAGCUCGAGUCCGGAAGAGGCGAGUGGAAUUCCUGGUGUAGCGGUGAAAUGCGCAGAUAUCAGGAGGAACACCAAUGGCGAAGGCAGCUCGCUGGGACGGUACUGACGCUGAGACGCGAAAGCUAGGGGAGCAAACGGG
Molecule: ribosomal RNA, 253 nt
Filed under: uncultured bacterium
Lineage: Bacteria
Description: partial 16S ribosomal RNA
Rfam family: Bacterial small subunit ribosomal RNA
Source: RNAcentral